GGGCUGUUGGUCUAGCGGUAUGAUUCUCGCUUUGGGUUAACACUGUUCUGCGAGAGGUCCCGGGUUCAAUCCCCGGACAGCCCC
Molecule: non-coding RNA, 84 nt
Organism: Chaetomium tenue
Lineage: Eukaryota; Fungi; Ascomycota; Sordariomycetes; Sordariales; Chaetomiaceae
Source: the annotation of a GenBank genome assembly